AAAAAAGGAAAAAGCAAAGAAAGCAAUAUAUUUUUUGUCAUGUUUCUUUUAAAAUUGGGUCAAUUUCUAAAAUGACCCAACUAAUUUUUAAGACUCAAAUCCCCUCAAGCUUAUUACCCCAUCCUAAAACCCUAGAGCCAAAUUUAUAUAAUAUAACCUAGACAUACACACAUAUACACAAAAAAUGCGUAGAUCCCCAAAGCUUAAGGGAGCGCAGCUUUUGGCAUAAAAAACGGACCCCCUUUUCCAUCGAGGAAAAAACCUCUUCUUCUUCAUAGAAUAGAGCAAAAAUUCAUGGCGGCUUCCUAAUCGAAACCACCAGCCCCGCCUCCCUUCACAUUUUUUUUCCAACUUCUUCCAUUAUUUUCGUCAUAGAUCACACAGGCACCACCAGACGAACAGAGAGCAGCGAUGAGAGAGUGAGGAAUUUUGUUCCAAAGCAUGGAGGUGGAUCGAGCUCGAGGGGUCGUUCACAGUGUCGUUCUUGUUCCCGUUUGAGUCCGAUUGUCGUCUCAAGUGUUUUGUUGUAACACUUGUUUGAUUUUUGUCCGUGUAUUACUGAAUAUUUAAUCAACCGAAAGUUUGAUUUUCAGUUUCCAUAGUUGCUAAAAUUCUAUUAAUUAAAAAGCAGUUUCAGUUCUUAAGCUUUCUUUUUGUUGCUGGGUUUUUGUUGAUUUGUGUCCAUUUUGGAGCCGUUUGUGAGAUCUGUUCGGAGUUGGGUAUUGAAAUUUCGAGGUCAUCAAGGUCCAGUCUGUCGAUUUCACCAUUGAAGUUGUGGCCGAUUAGUUUUGCUCUGUUUGAGCGCCCUGUUUCUGUUUCUGUUGCUUUUAGUUCUGUUCAAGUCGAUGUUACCAGAUGUUCUUGUACCCGAAGUUGCAGAAGUUGUUAUACAUGAAAUUUCAUCUUUUAAAGCUGCUGUUGAUUGCUGUUGUGUCGGCUGAAUUUAUGGCUGAGCUCCAGCCUUAGCUUUUCAACCUUUUUGAGCAUUUCUCGUUCGUUUGUUCCGGCAGUGAGAUCUGUUGGUGUAGCCUGGUUGAACUGUGGUUGCUCGACGACGAGGUUCGUGGUUCCGAGUCCGAUCUGCUGUCGUCUCUGUUUAGAUUGUCGCCAUUGAGGUAAAUUAUUCCUUGUUUUACUAUUGUCGGCUUAAUUUCAUGAUUUUGGUAAACUUGCGAAUAUAUUUUGCUCUGGUUUUGGUUGAAUGCUGUGUUAAUUCUCUGCUGCUCUAUCCUUAUGAAAUAUUUCAAACAUCUUAUUAACAAAGUCUAUAUUCAUUAGAAGAUACAUCGAUGUACUGAUGAUUUGGACUUUAUUAAAAGAAGUUUUGGUCCAUUCUUUUCCACUGAUUAUUCUUGAACAUGUUUGUAGUGAGAAACAAAAUAUUUUCUAUUGUCGUUUGUAUGUUUGGAUAUUUCUUUGGGCUUAAUUUGGUUCCAUAAUCUCUUCUGCCAAAGUUAGGAAUAGCAAUUAAAAAAAACCACAAUUUGUUUAAGGCAAAACGGACCAUGGGCUUUUCCUUAGUUGUAAAAAGGUAUUUUUACCUAUACAUCCCAUAUAACAAACCUUACUACCAUUAUUGUGCAUUGUUUGUUUAUU
This 1596-nucleotide long non-coding RNA is filed under the name Nicotiana benthamiana. RNAcentral's name for it is "long non-coding RNA (NBEN_LNC039087)". Lineage: Eukaryota; Viridiplantae; Streptophyta; Magnoliopsida; Solanales; Solanaceae. The record is from RNAcentral.